Molecule: ribosomal RNA, 605 nt
Filed under: Telimena ulei
Lineage: Eukaryota; Fungi; Ascomycota; Sordariomycetes; Phyllachorales; Telimenaceae
Description: eukaryotic LSU rRNA
Rfam family: Eukaryotic large subunit ribosomal RNA
Source: RNAcentral
AAUAAGCGGAGGAAAAGAAACCCACAGGGGAUUGCCCUAGAACGGCGAGUGAAGCGGCCAACAGCUCAAAUUUGAAAUCUGGCUUUGGCCCGAGUUGUAAUUUGCAGAGGAUGCUUCUGGCGCGGUGCCUCCUGAGUCCACUGGAAUGUGGCGCCACAGAGGGUGAGAGCCCCGUAUAGUUGGCCACCAAGCCUGUGUGAAGCUCCUUCGACGAGUCGAGUAGUUUGGGAAUGCUGCUCUAAAUGGGAGGUAAAUUCCUUCUAAAGCUAAAUAUUGGCCAGAGACCGAUAGCGCACAAGUAGAGUGAUCGAAAGAUGAAAAGCACUUUGAAAAGAGAGUCAAACAGCACGUGAAAUUGUUGAAAGGGAAGGAAUUGUGACCAGACUUGCGCCGUGGCGGAUCUCCCAGUGGUCUCACCGGUGCACUCCGUACGGGUUCAAGGCCAGCGUCGGUUUUUCGGCAGGGGGACAAAAGCGGAAGGGAAAUGUGGGCUUCCCCGGGAGCGUUAUAGCCCCGCCCGCAGAAUACCCCCGCCGAGGAACCAAAGACCGGCGCUCCUGCUACGGACGCUGGGCGGUAAUGGGUUAUUUAUUUCACCCGUCUUG